RNAcentral lists this ribosomal RNA (384 nucleotides) under uncultured Alphaproteobacteria bacterium. RNAcentral's name for it is "bacterial SSU rRNA". It matches the Rfam family "Bacterial small subunit ribosomal RNA", at positions 1034 to 1419 of the family's 1533-position model. Lineage: Bacteria; Pseudomonadati; Pseudomonadota; Alphaproteobacteria. The record is from RNAcentral.
ACAGGUGCUGCAUGGCUGUCGUCAGCUCGUGUCGUGAGAUGUUGGGCUAAGUCCCGCAACGAGCGCAACCCUCGUCCUUAAUUGCCAUCAGUUCGGCUGGGCACUCUAGGGAAACUGCCGGUGAUAAGCUGGAGGAAGGUGGGGAUGACGUCAAGUCCUCAUGGCCCUUACGGGCUGGGCUACACACGUGCUACAAUGGCGGUGACAGUGGGACGCGAAGGGGCGACCUGGAGCUAAUCCCCAAAAACCGUCUCAGUUCGGAUUGUUCUCUGCAACUCGAGAGCAUGAAGUUGGAAUCGCUAGUAAUCGUGGAUCAGCAUGCCACGGUGAAUACGUUCCCGGGCCUUGUACACACCGCCCGUCACACCAUGGGAGUUGGUUUUA